RNAcentral lists this ribosomal RNA (467 nucleotides) under uncultured bacterium. RNAcentral's name for it is "partial 16S ribosomal RNA". It matches the Rfam family "Bacterial small subunit ribosomal RNA", at positions 28 to 507 of the family's 1533-position model. The record is from RNAcentral.
GACGAACGCUGCGGCGUGCUUCACACAUGCAAGUCGCACGGAAAGGCCCUGCUUUUGUGGGGUGCUCGAGUGGCGAACGGGUGAGUAACACGUGAGUAACCUGCCCUUGACUUUGGGAUAACUUCAGGAAACUGGGGCUAAUACCGGAUAGGAGCUCCUGCUGCAUGGUGGGGGUUGGAAAGUUUCGGCGGUUGGGGAUGGACUCGCGGCUUAUCAGCUUGUUGGUGGGGUAGUGGCUUACCAAGGCUUUGACGGGUAGCCGGCCUGAGAGGGUGACCGGCCACAUUGGGACUGAGAUACGGCCCAGACUCCUACGGGAGGCAGCAGUGGGGAAUAUUGCACAAUGGGCGGAAGCCUGAUGCAGCAACGCCGCGUGCGGGAUGACGGCCUUCGGGUUGUAAACCGCUUUCGCCUGUGACGAAGCGUGAGUGACGGUAAUGGGUAAAGAAGCACCGGCUAACUACGUG